CAGUAGCCACGGUAAUACGAAGGGUGCAAGCGUUAAUCGGAAUUACUGGGCGUAAAGCGCACGCAGGCGGUUUGUUAAGUCAGAUGUGAAAUCCCCGAGCUUAAUUUGGGAACUGCAUUUGAAACUGGCAAGCUAGAGUCUUGUAGAGGGGGGUAGAAUUCCAGGUGUAGCGGUGAAAUGCGUAGAGAUCUGGAGGAAUACCGGUGGCGAAGGCGGCCCCCUGGACAAAGACUGACGCUCAGGUGCGAAAGCGUGGGGAGCAAACAGGAUUAGAUACCCCAGUAGUCCCUGUCUCUUAUAC
Molecule: ribosomal RNA, 301 nt
Filed under: uncultured bacterium
Lineage: Bacteria
Description: partial 16S ribosomal RNA
Rfam family: Bacterial small subunit ribosomal RNA
Source: RNAcentral